RNAcentral lists this ribosomal RNA (497 nucleotides) under uncultured bacterium. RNAcentral describes it as "partial 16S ribosomal RNA". It matches the Rfam family "Bacterial small subunit ribosomal RNA", at positions 28 to 507 of the family's 1533-position model. The record is from RNAcentral.
GAUGAACGCUGGCGGCGUGCCUAAUACAUGCAAGUCGAGCGAACGGACGAGAAGCUUGCUUCUCUGAUGUUAGCGGCGGACGGGUGAGUAACACGUGGAUAACCUACCUAUAAGACUGGGAUAACUUCGGGAAACCGGAGCUAAUACCGGAUGAUAUUUUGAACCGCAUGGUUCAAAAGUGAAAGACGGUCUUGCUGUCACUUAUAGAUGGAUCCGCGCUGCAUUAGCUAGUUGGUAAGGUAACGGCUUACCAAGGCAACGAUGCAUAGCCGACCUGAGAGGGUGAUCGGCCACACUAGAACUGAGACACGGUCCAGACUACUACGGGAGGCAGCAGUAGGGAAUCUUCCGCAAUGGGCGAAAGCCUGACGGAGCAACGCCGCGUGAGUGAUGAAGGUCUUCGGAUCGUAAAACUCUGUUAUUAGGGAAGAACAUAUGUGUAAGUAACUGUGCACAUCUUGACGGUACCUAAUCAGAAAGCCACGGCUAACUACGUG